This 141-nucleotide transfer RNA is filed under the name Cylindrospermum stagnale PCC 7417. RNAcentral's name for it is "tRNA-Und (NNN) (tRNA-Und-NNN-6-1)". Lineage: Bacteria; Bacillati; Cyanobacteriota; Cyanophyceae; Nostocales; Nostocaceae. The record is from RNAcentral.
GGAGAUGUGGCGAAAUUGGCAAACGCUAGCAAGGGUCACGCAAGGUACCACGAACUGUUGAAAAAGUAGUCAGAUUCUUUCUAGAGAGAAACACUACACAGUCGAGACAUAACCAUGCAGGUUCAAAUCCUGUCAUCUCCC